AAGUUUACAUAUUGAUUGUAAUAUCUUCUGCAUUUCUAAAUGAUAAUUUGUUAUUUUUGGACAUUACUAGUAACAUCGUCAUGCACGCAGAAACCAUAACUUCUCCUCCAGCUGCUACAGAUAUGUCAGUCCCAGGUCAGAGUUCUUCACCUUCUUCAAGUUGUAUGGUCUCUCCAACAACUGGUACUCAAACACUAGCAUUUUUGAGCUGUGGAACUCUACGAAAGAUUAAGUUGCAUGAGAAACUAAGAGCUAUGAGAAGAAAAAAAUGCAUGAAAACAUCCAGUCAUGAGUUCAUCCCGGUGAAGACAGUGUGGUGCUCGUAGUGUCUGUUUGAACGCCCAAGGGCGUGCUUAGAAGAGCUUCUUCUAAAUAAUGUGUGUUGCCAAUAGAAACUGUUCCUACUGACUAACAAUUUUUUGAAAUUAUCCUUUUUUACUAUAUGUUACUAAUGUUAGUUUUAUUGUUUUUAUUUUGCAUUUAAGUUGAAAGUAGGUUUUUUCAAAGGGGGCGGCAUGUACGGUGAGAGUUCAUUUUAUUCAUAUUUUCUUAUGUCUCGUACCACCCUGUACAGGCAAAUGGCUGCAUUCCAGAACACUUAAACCUCUCACAGUUCAUCCCUCUCAAGCGAGCGUUGAUCGGUUCGAUGUAUAUUAGUAAGUGUCAGUUCUGUCGUAAACGGCAAACAUCUGUUUGUUCUCUUCCAUAUUCAUGCACUGUAAAAAUAUCUACUAUCGAAGUAAAUAGUUGAAUAUUGAA
This is a long non-coding RNA of Leptinotarsa decemlineata (Colorado potato beetle), 759 nucleotides long. The record is from RefSeq and is a predicted model, not a curated record. Lineage: Eukaryota; Metazoa; Arthropoda; Insecta; Coleoptera; Chrysomelidae.